AGUAAUACCACAGAACAGAAUUUUAGUCGGCCGCUCUGUUGAUUUCACGCAAAGUCUGAGAAGCAAAGCAUUAGAUGAGUGUGGACUUAGGUGAAGACUUCUUUAUUUUACCAACAGUCCUGCCUAAAAUGGAUCAGAAAGCGUCGAAGGCAGCAAAACCGGGGUCCCCGAGUGUGACCGAAGGACAAAGAAGGGAAGACGAAAGGCAAAGUCCGCCGCACCAUUCGGAACAAACUAGGGAACACGGAGCAAAUGUUGACGUGAGUAACAACGUCUCGGACAAUGGCAAACCUACAAACAUCGCACCUAGCCUUGGCAAUGAGGAUGAGGAAGGGGUCGGUACGUGUAAGGCCACUGACGUCGAUCUUCCUCAUGAUCAGGAAUCCUACGACAUGGCCUUACUAGCGCUGGAUCAGGGGAGAGACACUCAUGAUCAAGUCUUGGACGGCGGACAUGAAUGCUACAAUGACGGAGACGUGGUGGCGUUCUCAGAAACAGAAAAUGCAGUGACCCAAAUUACAAACCCAAGUCAAUUGAGCGGCCAAGGCAACAAGGUUAUCAACAUCGGGCCCCAUUCCACCGUCAAUAUCUUCCACGGAACAUCCGAUGAGCCUAGCACAGUGACCAACGUUGACAGUCCCUCAGAAGAUUUCCCCCUCGGCCAAUGUCAAGAUUCACUUAAGUCCUAUUUCAAGACAAGACUGAGCUACCUUCACCCUCUAGCGUGGAAUGAAACUUUCACCAUGAAGAUUGAGGACAUCUUCACGACUGUAGACCUCGUGACGCGAACACAACAAGGAGGGCACAUUGAACGGCGCGCCCUUCCCUCUACUGUCGACGCCUUGACUGCCAGACCCGAUUGUCCCCAGCCCCGGCGCAUUUUGAUCGAAGGUAACGCAGGGAUAGGGAAGACAACCGAAGUUUCCAAACUCGCUUUUGACUGGGCCGAGGGCAGGUCUCUGAUUCUGGAAAAGUAUGAUCUGGUUUUCCCGAUCGCGCUGCGGAAGGUUGAUGAGUCCCAGUCCAUUACAGAGUGUAUCUUUGACCAACUCCUACCAGAAGAUGUGCCGUUUCAGGAGUCGGACUUGGAAACGUACUUGAAGGGGAAUGACCGAGUCUUGAUCAUUCUCGACGGCGUCGACGAGUGGGCGAGGCAUGAAGGGCAUGACGUCACCAAAGUUCUGACUGGUAAGGUUCUCCGAGACUGUUGCCUGAUGGUGACCACCAGACCUUCCCACACCCCUCAGCUGCAUAGUAUGAUGUGUCCGGACACACAGGUGGAGAUCACGGGCUUCAGUCAGGACAACAUCCGUACUUACGUCCACAGGUUCUUCACGGGAGACGAGACCAAGGCAGCGGCCUUAGUCAGUAAAAUGGACUCCUCCCUAAUCCCCACAGGCAUUCUGGCAACACCAAUACUGCUUUUGUUGACCUGCAUGAUGUGGGAAGAGAAGCAGGAUUUGGUGUUUGGAGGUCGAAUCUUUCCCCUUUAUGAUGAGCUAGUUUCCUUCACAAUAAGGCGACAUUGCGUUAGGAACAACAUUGGUUCAAACCAAGGCAUUCCUGACAACAUCAGAGAUGCGUUAUUGUGUGCCGGGGCUCUUGCUUUCAAUGGCUUGUUGGAGAAUAGGCUAGUAUAUAGCAAAGAAGACGUUGCCAAGUAUUGUGGUGAAGAUAGUUUGCAGGAGCUUGUGUUGUUGGGGAUUCUUCACAGACAAGAAAGUCCCUCCAGACUCAACCCUUCUGACCAGUUUUCCUUCUCCCACAAGACGAUGCAGGAGUAUUUCGCAGGGUUGUAUUUCGCAAAAAGGCUUCAGGACGAGACAACAGAAAAGUCCAUUCUGAACACAUACCUGACAACGGCUCAAAGUGUGCGUGACUUGGAAAACGUCAUCAUGUUUGCUUGUGCGAAGUUAGGGCUUGAAGCAGAUGUUAUAUUGGCUCACCUUGUCAAACUCCACCAAGAGGAGGUAGAACAUUUGUCUGAUACCUCCAGUGGUGGGUAUCCACACUACAUGGAGUAUUUUCUAUAUUCUAAAUGUCGGAUUGCAGGGAAUGAAGGAGAGUUUUUUAGUCCUUCUAAGUUAGCUUUCUUUCACCUCUAGACAUACAUGGAGAUCGCAUUGUUGUGCUUCUACGAGAGUGGUUGUCUCUCGCAGGUAGAGAACAUCUUUCCAACCAAAGGUGUUAUUCACUUUUCAAAUGUAGGCCCUCAUGUUUACAACGCCUUGGAACAUGUUCUGAAGAACAUUCCACCUCGAUCCCUUAGAAAUGUAACAACCCUCAGGUUGAUGGGUACCACGGAAUGCUUUGUCAGUCCUGUCAUUGACUACCUGAGGAUGAUGAAUUUGUCUGAGUUGGACCUUUAUCGUGCUUGUCUUGGAGGUCAUGACCCCAACACAGGACCUUGUGCCCGCCUGGCACAACAGUUACCUUACCUAACAAGUUUGAGGAAGCUUGUGUUGUGUUUGAACAAUCUUGUCUGCUCAGAUCUACUUGUAUUAUUACCUUCCUUGAAGAUGUUGGUGGACCUUGAAUGGUUGAACCUCUUUGGUAACAAACUAGCAGGUUGUGGAAAGGAAAUCUCAGAACUGCCGUGCUCCUUACGGAACCUCAAAGUCCUGAACGUGUAUGAGUGCAAACUUAGCCUGGAGGAUGUUCUACAAAUAGGUAAGGGCAUCAUAUCUUAUUCAUCUCAUUGUUUUACAUCGAUACUUUUCUAUAAUUCCUUAUUCACUUGCUUGGUAUAAAAUUGAUGAAACUUGUUGUUAUUGAUCAAAACUACUUAAUAACCCUCCCAAUUAGUAAUUUUAUAUCAUUAGAAUGCAGAUAAUAUAAAAAGUAGUCUCUUACUUACAUAAUUCAUAUCACGUGUAAAAUCACAUGUUGAAUAACAAAUAUCCUUUUUCUUCUUGCGAUGUUUGCUCAUUAAGUAUGUUUUGAAAUCAAAAUUUACAUUGACGGUUUCCAAGUAUCAUCCCAAGUAUCAAGACAAUCCAUCCAAGCCUCCUAGAGUUAUGUUAGCAGACGGAUAGACACACACAAACAUGAACAGUCCAGACAACAUAAGUCAUAACAUUCUUGGCGAAGGUUCUAAUACUGUUGUUUUCAAUUUAACACACAGCUACUGCAGUAGUGCAGCACUGCUCAAAGAUGGAAGUGUUUGAGUGGAGAGCCAAUGUGACAGGUCAGGAGAACGAAAGAAAAGUUCGGGACAUUCUCAGGGGUUUAAAGUCAUGACCUAUAGGAGUUCACGAAAAUCCGCUGUCAGGAAUCAGUUACUCAUGGUGAGCCCGGAGCUCCCUCCUCAUCAGGCUCAUACACACCAUUCAUCAGUCUAGCACCGGACAUGCUCAAGGCAAACGUAAACUCCAAGCACUAACCAAGGACGUUUUAUAACGUCCUUGCUCUAAAUUGACAGUCUUUCACUUAAUGUUUUCUGCGGCUGAAUAGGCUGUUUUCAUGUACAUUUGAGUUACAAAUCAUGAAGUUAUUUGGGGUGACAGAUGUUAAAGUCAAGGUCCUCAUCUACUUCGGUGGAUGAACAUUAUAAUCAUGGAACACAAAUCUGAGAUAUUGAAUACCCUUACGAUUUUUGCCAUGCCAUUUCUGUAACAGAAGACGAGAGCACAAGCAAACAGAAGACAAAGAGCUCUUGUCCUUGUAAAUGGUAUAUUCAUUGCCAUAUGCGGAUUGCAUCACAUGCCUUAUAGCUGAAUGUUUUGAUCAGAAUAUUGUUGGAAUCAAAAUGUUAUCCAUGAGCUGUCGAGUUAUCACCAUUUUUUAUGAUACUGGAUAACUCUGUCAUUAGCUGUUCUACAUAUACAUAGUGACUUUGUAUAAGGAUAUGACUGUAUGUAAAAUUUUACACACUUUAACUGUAAAGAUAACCCUUAGUAACUUUUCCCUAGAUAUAAUUGCAAGUAACAACCGAACAGCACUCGACUAUCAAAUAAUGAAGAAAAGCAGCAAAUAUUGAAACAAACUACAUGUGUGUUGUCAAGAGAGUAUUAGAAAACUGAAAUGGAAGGUGUUUAUUGAUGUCAGAGACUAAUGUAAAUGGACAAGUAUCAGAGUGUGAAUGGGAAUACCAUGAUUAUGUCAUAUAAUCCCCUUCCAUUGUAUAUAUGUGCACCUUUAGAACAAUUACUAAUAUAUUAGAUAAUCAUAAGCAAACCAAGGAAAAAAACAAUACAAAUGUA
Branchiostoma floridae (Florida lancelet) is the source of this 4202-nucleotide RNA transcript. It is a transcript of the gene named NACHT, LRR and PYD domains-containing protein 3-like, with no coding region annotated. NCBI's taxonomy places the organism in Eukaryota, Metazoa, Chordata, Leptocardii, Amphioxiformes, Branchiostomatidae. The record is from RefSeq and is a predicted model, not a curated record. The transcript is spliced from 5 exons.